GCGAACGCUGGCGGCAGGCCUAACCCCUGCCAGUCGAACGAACCUUUCGGGGUUAGUGGCGGACGGGUGAGUAACACGUGGGAACGUGCCUUUAGGUUCGGAAUAACUCAGGGAAACUUGUGCUAAUACCGAAUGUGCCCUUCGGGGGAAAGAUUAAUCGCCUUUAGAGCGGCCCGCGUCUGAUUAGCUAGUUGGUUGAGGUAAUGGCUCACCAAGGCGACGAUCAGUAGCUGGUCUGAGAGGAUGAUCAGCCACAUUGGGACUGAGACACGGCCCAAACUCCUACGGGAGGCAGCAGUGGGGAAUCUUGCGCAAUGGGCGAAAGCCUGACGCAGCCAUGCCGCGUGAAUGAUGAAGGUCUUAGGAUUGUAAAAUUCUUUCACCGGGGACGAUAAUGACGGUACCCGGAGAAGAAGCCCCGGCUAACUUCGUG
This 433-nucleotide ribosomal RNA is filed under the name uncultured bacterium. RNAcentral's name for it is "partial 16S ribosomal RNA". It matches the Rfam family "Bacterial small subunit ribosomal RNA", at positions 29 to 507 of the family's 1533-position model. The record is from RNAcentral.